UACGGAGGGUGCGAACGUUGCUCGGAAUUCUUGGGCGUAAAGCGCGCGUAGGCGGUUCGGCAAGUCGGGUGUGAAAGCCCUCGGCUCAACCGAGGAAGUGCAUUCGAAACUACCGAGCUUGAGUACUGAAGAGGAUGACGGAAUUCCCGGUGUAGAGGUGAAAUUCGUAGAGAUCGGGAGGAACACCAGUGGCGAAGGCGGUCAUCUGGGCAGAUACUGACGCUGAGGCGCGAAAGCGUGGGGAGCAAACAGG
Molecule: ribosomal RNA, 253 nt
Filed under: uncultured bacterium
Lineage: Bacteria
Description: partial 16S ribosomal RNA
Rfam family: Bacterial small subunit ribosomal RNA
Source: RNAcentral